Molecule: ribosomal RNA, 207 nt
Filed under: Coryphophylax subcristatus
Lineage: Eukaryota; Metazoa; Chordata; Lepidosauria; Squamata; Agamidae
Description: partial 12S ribosomal RNA
Source: RNAcentral
CGCCAAAAAAGUACAAGCCAAGCUUCAAACUUAAAAGACCUGGCGGUGCUCUAAAUAAACCUAGAGGGGCCUGUCUAAUAAUCGAUACUCCACGAAAAACCCAACCUCUUCUGGCCAAUUCAGCCUGUAUACCGCCGUCGAAAGCUCAUUUUUCAAGAAAUAUAAGCUAAAAAGUAUAAUUUAACUAACACGUCGGGUCAGGGUGUA